Megalopta genalis is the source of this 614-nucleotide non-coding RNA. The record is from RefSeq and is a predicted model, not a curated record. Lineage: Eukaryota; Metazoa; Arthropoda; Insecta; Hymenoptera; Halictidae.
CGUUAUUCCGUGACAGUGCGGAUCGUUUAGCUAUCGGCCGAUUCUAUUAUUUACGACUACGUGCGCCUGAUAAAAAUCGGUUUAACGGCCAGAGAGAUUGGAGACCGUGACGCAACCUGCCGUCGAUUCUAUCGUUUAUGGCUCGGUGACUGAUAAAAACCGGUUCGCCGGUCCAAAACGUUCGGGGAUCUCCUCGAUUUCCCAUUGAUUCUACGAUUUUUUCAUCCUAUCGUUUCGUUCGCGCCGGAUUUCAUUCGAGAUUAGUUUAUUAUCAUAGAACAGCGCGAAGCAUCUAAACUCGACAUUCCUGGUACGAAGAAAACAACAGCAGGAAAUGUGGAUUACCAUCGAUCCACGAUCCCAAGAUCCAGCGAACUUUCAUAAAACUCGGUUUCACGACUCGAAUGUUGAAUCGCAACGAAAUUGAAUGAUCAGCCCUGACGUUCCGAUUUCUGAACGAGUCUUCUCUGAUUUGUUUGUUACGCGGCAACCGAGGGGCCAGAUACUUUCCGAGGCUGCCGAAGUUGGAGAGUGCACUUGAUUUAACCAAAUACGUAACUGCACUGUUACCGUAAUACCAGAUUAACUUUUUGCGGUGGUCCGUGAACCGCGUG